GAGCUGCAGUCAGUGGCUGCUUUGUGAAGGAGAAAGAGUCAGUGCUGUGAGGAGCUGGUCACGAGAAACACCAAGAAGAAUUGAGUAAUCCCUUCCAGGCCAGGGAAGACUUGGAGAAGUGGACAACUGGAGAGGCAGCUGCAAAACUGUGCUGGAGGGGGCUAAAAUGACCGUGGUUAAAGUGUAGGGAGUUGCCAAUGAUGUGGUGAGGAGGGUGCAGCCUUCCCAGCUCGCUGCAGGAAUGGCUGAGGUGAAUCAAUGCCAGCACCAUGGCAUCCUCAUCCACCUCUUGAUGGCCACACUGAGCACUCCAGGGAAGCAGUGGAAAGGAGUUGCAUCCAUAUGAAACCUGUGUGCAAGAUGCUUGUUCACAGGGGAGUAAGAAAUUAACAAUAUAUUGGAAAAAUGACAAAAAAGAAAUUGAGACUUGGAAGGAAGAAGCAAUUGAGAACAAAUCUGUUCCAAGUGAGUUGCUGACCUUUCAUUUGAUAGUAAACGCACUGAGCAAAUGGCCCAAUGCCUUGUGCUGAGCUGUGCCAGCUUGUCCUGGUCCAGGCCUGCCUGUGUGCUGGGUUCAGGGCCAGGCUGACUCCCUGCCAGCUUGGGGAGGCUCAGGAGCCCUGGGCUAGGGGCAGAUCCAGCAUUUCAGCCACAAAAUGGGAAUGAGAUGCACUGUGUGGGUGAUCCUCACCUUCACAUCAGCUUAUGAAUGCAUCAGGUGAGUCAUGGUGUGUCACAAAAGUGUGUCCUUGAAUACACUGGCAGGAUGAAUUUCUGCUGGACCCUCCAGGAACAGGCUGAAAACACUGUGGGAAAUGGUAAAUGGGGAUGGAAAGUGGCCAAAGGAGUGAGAGCUCCAUCCAACUGGAUAGCCUCAGCUCUCCAAAGAAUCCAGCUCUGUGCAUGAAUGGAAGCAAGUGGUGCCCACCCCUUCCACUGAGGUUUCUUCUCAUAUUAGAAGGUCACCAAUUAUUUCUGACUGAUCAGAAUUUCUUCCAGGCUGCACAAAUUUAAUGUGGCUUUUUGUUCUGUUGUGUGGCCAUUCUUCCAAGGGGCAUCUCUUUAUUGCUGGAGCAGAUCAUGGAGGCAGCAGUGCUCCCAGGAAAGGGAGGAGGAUUUGCACAGAGAGCCUGCCUGGGAUUUAGGAAGUGAGCGGCCAAAAGAGAUUGUUUAAAGUCUGGCCUAGUAAAUGAAUGUAAUCUAUAUAAACUCUUGAUUAGGAGCUGGUUCCUCAGACUCUGAGUAUCAGAGUGAUUCGCUGGUACCAGGUUCGAUUUAUGCUGGUAGAGGAGCUGGCUCAUAUAUAUUUCCUUUUUAAUUUGCAUUUUGCUGUUUUCUGUUUCUGGGAAAUGAAUUAAGCAGAACUAAGGCCACUUAGGGAAAGUGUCUGUGUGAGUCUGGAGGAAAAUCAAGCUGGACAAAUCUGCUAGUUCAAAUUCGUAGCUGUACUGAAUUUGAAUUAGCCUUUCAAAUAUCUCGGUUUAAGCAGCUGAAAAGCUAAGCUGGAGGAACAGGGGGAAGGAGCAAGAGUAGGCUGGUUUUGUCCUUUUGCUGACAUCCCCCUUUGUUCUGUGCAUGUGGUCAGGCACUGCAUGACAGACCUGGAUUUACUGAGAAAUCAUCAACCCCAGGAAAAUAAUGAAAUUUGGGGUUAAUGCUGUCCUCACUCACAUUUGGGUUAAGCAUUUUUAUAUCAGUAUUAAAAGAAGACCAGUGGUGGAUGUGAAGGGAAGAGGCAAAACCUGAGUGUGAAUUUGCUUCCCAAGGCCUGGAGGGCAUUUUUCUUCUUGUUGAGAAAGAACCUUGGGCAGGGCUGUGCACAGUCCCUGUGUGCUGCAGCAGGACCCACAGUCCCACAAAGCCAUAGCUUCACUGGGGUACCAGGAGGUGGAGAUCUAAAAUUAAAAUAUUCUCUGAAAUGCAAACAAUGUGCUUUAUAACAAGAAAGUAUAAAUUAACUAAGGAGAAGAAAAUAGCAUCUGUUGAAAACAGAUUAGUGAGGAGUGCCUGUGGAUGCCUGGGUGGCUUUACCAAGCAGUCAAUUAGAGUCAAUUAUCAUCCUCAAACUCCUCACCCUGUGCUUAGUAUGCUUGCAGUGAGUCCAAUUUAGCUUGUGCUCUUUCAUAGGUUCACAAUUUUCUCUCUGUGUCUGAAAUGAUCUAGCUGGAGACACCAGGAAAGUGCCAAGCUUUAAGCAUAUGACAAUUGUAAUUCUUGUGACUGAAACCUGAUUUGAUUCAGUUGAAAAUGACUUCAGUGUAUUGGAUUUACGGUUCAUUUAACAAGUGCUGUAGAUGUCAAUACAUUAGUGUAAACCUGAUGCAGGUAGUAAUUUGGUUUCUAAUGAGGUUCCCCAGCAGUAUCCAACUAUGAAAAAUGGGGCAUUCUUCACUGGAGCACAAAGUGCACCUGCCUGAUGCAGAUGUUUUCUGAGGCCCUGCUACUUCACUUUCUGGGAAGAGUAUGGUGUUAUAUCUUGCUGUGGGCUUUAAAAGUGCCUUAAACUGAUAAAAUGUUAAAAGAACAGAUUGGAAAGAAUAAAAGAUUGCUCUUUUAAAGUUUUGUUUUAAUUAUAGGUUUAAAUUACAACUUUAUCUCUUGCAGUCUUAAUUGUGCAGUUGUUGCAGAUGCAAAAAUUCACCCAGAUUUAAUGGAACUUUAAAGAGAAACCUUUUAUUUUUAUGGGUCUGUGUGAUCAGGUGUUCUCCUUACCUCCCCACUGCCUUCAAACUAUUUCACUGAAUGGUUCUCCAGGUGUAGUGUGGAAAUAGCUGUAGUGCAGAGAGGCCAGGACAAAGAAGGCUGUGAUGUCUCCCUGUCUCCUGUCCUCCCCUUUCCCCUCUGGACAUGAGAUAAGUUUCAGAAAAGCAGCUGUAAAAAUAUUGUGCCCUUUCAAGGCAAAGUGUGUGGCCAAAACCUCUCACAGGAGCUCUAAGUGCCCUUUUCCCUUUGGGAGAGACCCUCCUAUGCUGGGCAGCCCACAGACAACCCUUCCUUCAGCACCUGUGCUCAAAAAAUGCUUUUAAAUAUUUUAUGUGCUGCCAAGUAGCUUUUGUUGCAGCAUUAAGCUGUUUUCUAUAGGUUGAGACAUUACUGAUCAAUAUGAGGGUGUUUGAGAGCCUGACCCCAGCAGACUGUGCUGGUGUAAGGGUACAGAAGUUAUGUUCAGUCCUACACAAAGCAGCCUUUGCCCCUCUCUCAAUUCUCCCCAUGCCUCAGCUGCAAAUACAACUCCUUUUGCUCCUCUAUACUUCUUAAUUUCCUUCCUUUGCUGUUAUUUAGCUGCUAAGUGCUACGUGCUGCAGUAGAUAAUGGAAGAAGCUAUUCAGAAUGAAAUGGCGUGGCAUUUUCUGCCCUUUUGUAAACUAUAUGAAAUAAAGAUGAACUUUUCUGCUCAUUUCAGCCAAGGCA
This is a long non-coding RNA of Zonotrichia leucophrys gambelii, 3411 nucleotides long. RefSeq lists it as uncharacterized. The record is from RefSeq and is a predicted model, not a curated record. The transcript has 4 exons. NCBI's taxonomy places the organism in Eukaryota, Metazoa, Chordata, Aves, Passeriformes, Passerellidae.